Long non-coding RNA from Vitis vinifera (wine grape), 670 nucleotides. RefSeq lists it as uncharacterized. The transcript is spliced from 2 exons. Lineage: Eukaryota; Viridiplantae; Streptophyta; Magnoliopsida; Vitales; Vitaceae. The record is from RefSeq and is a predicted model, not a curated record.
CUUAGUAAGAAUUCUUGUGGUUCCAAAGUAUCAACUAUGGGAGAGCCUGGAAAAUAGAGCUUUCCUUUUUUGGUAGAGGUACAGGUAUGUUCAAGGUCCAAUAUAAGCUCCUGUCGUGGGAAAAGCAAAAACAGUUUGAAAUGGAGAACAGUUGGGAAGUGAUGAAACCAAGAAGAUUGAAGAGAAAAACUAUAGGAAGGUUGGGUUCACCUUACUAAGUGAAACAGAGACAUGGAUGGAAUGAAUGCAAAUUUCAAGAAAAUAAUGCUACCGAAAGGCCAUGGGAACAGAAAUUUGAAGUAAGAAAAGAUAAUGGCAAGAAAUACAGAAAUUUAGGGAAGAAGAGAUUAGGUGUAUGGGAAAGAUGUAGCAAGAAAUUAGUUGGUUGGGCCCUUGGAAUAUUCCAAGAGGCGCAAAUAUGUCUUCAUGAGCAAAAAGAAGAAAACUAUGUUCUAACGCAUAAAAGAUAAUCAUGAGACAAUUUUUCUCAACUUGGGAAUUUUCAUCUUUAGAAUAUGUGAAUUUUAUAGAGGGAGGUGGUGGCUGGUGGCUGUCUAGCCUAAUUUGGUAUAUGUGUAAAUUGGAUUGCAAGAAAUUCUCAUAUGAAGGCAUUCCUAAUAUACUUGUGCAAGACUAUAUUUAUAAAUUGAAUUGCAAGAAAUUCCCUAAA